CUGAAUGGGGAAACCCACUUACAUAAGUAAGUAUCCUGUUGUGAAUACAUAGCAACAGGAGGCAAACCGGGGGAACUGAAACAUCUAAGUACCCCGAGGAAGAGAAAUCAACCGAGAUUCCGAAAGUAGCGGCGAGCGAAAUUGGAUUAGCCCUUAAGCUUUUAAUGAGACAGAUGAAGGCUCUGGAAAGUGCCGCAAUAAAGGGUGAUAGCCCCGUAAUCGACAUCUCAUCAUCAGUGAAAACGAGUAGGGCGGGACACGUGAUAUCCUGUCUGAAUAUGGGGGGACCAUCCUCCAAGGCUAAAUC
RNAcentral lists this ribosomal RNA (307 nucleotides) under uncultured bacterium. RNAcentral describes it as "bacterial LSU rRNA". It matches the Rfam family "Bacterial large subunit ribosomal RNA", at positions 114 to 471 of the family's 2925-position model. The record is from RNAcentral.